This 801-nucleotide ribosomal RNA is filed under the name uncultured Actinomycetes bacterium. RNAcentral describes it as "bacterial SSU rRNA". It matches the Rfam family "Bacterial small subunit ribosomal RNA", at positions 73 to 883 of the family's 1533-position model. Lineage: Bacteria; Bacillati; Actinomycetota; Actinomycetes. The record is from RNAcentral.
CUAGUCUUCGGAUUAGUUCCUAGCGGCGAACGGUCGCGUAACACGUAAGCAACCUGCCCCAAAGACCGGGACAACGUUCCGAAAGGAGCGCUAAUACCGGAUGUGGCCGCUUUGUUGCAUGACAGAGCGAUUAAACCGAGCAAUCGGCUUUGGGAGGGGCUUGCGGCCUAUCAGCUAGUUGGUGGGGUAACGGCCUACCAAGGCGACGACGGGUAGCUGGUCUGAGAGGAUGUCCAGCCGGACUGGGACUGAGAUACGGCCCAGACUCCUACGGGGGGCAGCAAUUAGGAAUCUUGCGCAAUGGGCGAAAGCCUGACGCAGCGACGCCGCGUGAGGGAGGAAGGCCUUCGGGUUGUAAACCUCUUUUAUCCGGGAAGAAUACAAUUGACGGUACCGGAUGAAUAAGCCACGGCUAACUCCGUGCCAGCAGCCGCGGUAAUACGGAGGUGGCGAGCGUUGUCCGAAGUUACUGGGCGUAAAGCGCGCGUAGGCGGGCUAUUAAGUGAGGGGUGAAAGGCUGAGGCUCAACCUCAUGUUGGUCCUCUCAUACUGAUAGUCUUGAGUGAGGCAGGGAGAAGUGGAAUGGCUGGUGUAGCGGUGAAAUGCGUAGAUAUCAGUCGGAACACCGGUGGCGAAGGCGGCUUCUUGGGCCUUAACUGACGCUGAGGCGCGAAAGCUGGGGGAGCGAACGGGAUUAGAUACCCCGGUAGUCCCAGCCGUAAACGAUGGAUACUAGGUGUCGGGGGUAUCGACCCCUCCGGUGCCGCAGCUAACGCAUUAAGUAUCCCGCCUGGGGAGUAC